GACGAACGCUGGCGGCGUGCUUAACACAUGCAAGUCGAACGGAAAGGCCUGUCCUUCCUUGUGUUGGACGGGUACUCGAGUGGCGAACGGGUGAGUAACACGUGAGUGAUCUGCCCCCAACUUGGGUAUAAGCCUGGGAAACUGGGUCUAAUUCCCGAUAGGACUGCAGGGUGGUGCCUGUGGUGGAAAACGAUUUUCUAGUGGUUGGGGAUGAGCUCGCGGCCUAUCAGCUUGUUGGUGGGGUAAUGGCCUACCAAGGCGGCGACGGGUAGCCGGCCUGAGAGGGUGGACGGCCACAUUGGGACUGAGAUACGGCCCAGACUCCUACGGGAGGCAGCAGUGGGGAAUAUUGCACAAUGGGCGGAAGCCUGAUGCAGAGACGCCGCGUGGGGGAUGACGGCCUUCGGGUUGUAAACUCCUUUCGACCGCGAGGAAGCCGCCUGGUUGGAAGGGUGGUGACGGUAGUGGUAGAAGAAGCACCGGCUAACUACGUG
This 494-nucleotide ribosomal RNA is filed under the name uncultured bacterium. Its description in RNAcentral is "partial 16S ribosomal RNA". It matches the Rfam family "Bacterial small subunit ribosomal RNA", at positions 28 to 507 of the family's 1533-position model. The record is from RNAcentral.